This 253-nucleotide ribosomal RNA is filed under the name uncultured bacterium. RNAcentral describes it as "partial 16S ribosomal RNA". It matches the Rfam family "Bacterial small subunit ribosomal RNA", at positions 524 to 776 of the family's 1533-position model. The record is from RNAcentral.
UACGGAGGGGGCUAGCGUUGUUCGGAAUGACUGGGCGUAAAGCGCGCGUAGGCGGAUCAGCAAGUCAGGGGUGAAAUCCUGGAGCUCAACUCCAGAACUGCCUUUGAUACUGGCGAUCUCGAGUCCGGGAGAGGUGAGUGGAACUGCGAGUGUAGAGGUGAAAUUCGUAGAUAUUCGCAAGAACACCAGUGGCGAAGGCGGCUCACUGGCCCGGUACUGACGCUGAGGUGCGAAAGCGUGGGGAGCAAACAGG